This 227-nucleotide unclassified non-coding RNA is filed under the name Enterococcus sulfureus. RNAcentral describes it as "partial 16S-23S ribosomal RNA intergenic spacer". The record is from RNAcentral. Lineage: Bacteria; Bacillati; Bacillota; Bacilli; Lactobacillales; Enterococcaceae.
CUAAGGAAUAUUACGGAAUACACACGUUCGUUUCCACUUUGUUCAGUUUUGAGAGGUUUACUCUCAAAUAAUUUGUUCAUUGAAAACUGGAUAUUGAAGUAAAGAAAUCAAAACAAACCGAGAACACCGCGUUGAAUGAGUUUUUUAAUACGUUCAAUUGCUUAUUUUUCUUAAUCAUCUUCUAUCGCUAGAAGACAAUGAUUAAAACCCAACCGUAAGGUUGAUAA